UUCCCCUUUUUAAUGAAAUCCCCAUAAGUUAUUAUAAAUUAUUACAACCCAGAAUUUAAUAGGAAGAGAAUUAAAUUACAUCUGAAAACUAAAAGCUUCCAACCAAGGAGAGCCUGAUUUUGAUUUCAUGCUUGAAGCAUGCAGUAGACCAAGUCCAAAGAUCCAAGUCUAAAGCCUUUCUAAUUUUUUGGGUGUGUCAGAGUUUCCAAGAGCCUUAUGAGCUCCAGUGCUUACACCCAAAUUCAUUACAGAGUUGAGAAAUAGUGUGAUGUGGAAUAGCCAACCCUCAAGUCUCCAAGUUCAGAGAGAAAUCAAGGUCCCAAAGCAUGGCUCAUAGGAGGGGGGAAAAACUUAGAAGCUCGAAAUGAGUGUGAGUGCGAUAGAGGAGAUUCUGGGGAGAGCCAAUAUAAGCUAGUGAUCAUACCCAGCAAUUGGAGGUGCUGAAACAACCCAACCAGCCAUGUUGGUCACAUAGUAUGGGAGUUAGGGCCCAUUAAAGGAUCAAGUCCAGUAUGAUCGACAAUUUGGAUGUUGCCAUGCUUUGAACUUUAACUCAAACACAUUGAAGGGAAUGGGGUAUGGGGAUUGACAACAACAACAGAUGCAAAGAGAAUAACAUAUUUAAUACUUAACAUUGCAGCAAAGUAGUUACAAUUGUAGAAGUUGUAAAGUAAAUACAUAGGGAUGAGGCAAAAAAACUAAAUUAAAACGUACUAGUUUCUAGGAAACAAGUAACAAAAGCAAAGUCUUGAAAAAACCUAAGUGCAAACAUGAAGACAAAAUAAUUUAAGUGUGCGAGAUUGUGAAGUCUAAAGUGUGUUAAUCGUGUGUGGUUUGUGUUAAAGAAGGUCAUGUAUUUAUAGUGUGAAAGUCAUGAGCAAAUAAGGUAAGUGAACAAUUAUAGACUGAUUGUAAAUCAAUUACACAAGGUUUUCCCUUAAUUAAGGGGUUCAGAUUCAAACGGGUAGAACCAUUUAAGGAAAAGAAUUUUAAAUGAACACUUUGUGCAAAGUAGUAAAUUAGGGGCAAAUGCACAAAGGCUAUUUAAGGAAAAAAACCCUGAAACACGCGGUUGCACAAUUUGAGGAAAGAGAAUCAAUUGACAACCAAGAAAACAGAAAUCCAAAGAUUUGGUAUGAAUGAACCAAGCCAGAAAGGUGGAAAAGGUUUUAACGUAAAGAGCAUCAGCAACAAUCAAUUAGACCUAUUAAAAGGAGAUUCUGAAUCAAUCACUAAUUGGAGAACCUCUUUGAAGAAAGAUUUGUCACACAUAUAAAGCAUACAUACACGCUUAAACAUGAAAGAACUGUCAUGCUAAUCAGUAGAAGAGUCUAGUGUAGAAGAAAUUAAAAAGUUCAAAACAAAGAAGUUCAAACUUAGUUCAACAGUCAGUCUGAGAGAGUCAAGGGUUCUAAAAUAGAACCCUACUUCAAUCACAUGACCAAACCUCGGCAGAAUUGCCCCAAAUUCUAGGGUUUCCUCCUUGAAUCAAAUACAGAGAUGAGGAAAUAAGUAGUCGAAACAGGCUUAGGGGUUUAUUUCAGAAAUUCAUGAGAACAUAUGCAAACACAGUAGAAGGUUUAAAGCAAACAGAGUGAAGAAACUAAUUCGAAGUAUGACAAGAGAACAUCAUGAUAGUAGAAAAAACAUGCUUAAGAAAAAUCCUCUCAGAAGGGACUUAAAUAGGGUUUAGUAGAAGAGAAAUAAUAAACACUUAAGAAUGCAGUAGUAAAUAUAGUAGAAGAUAAUACUUUUAGAAGGAACUUAACCAAAGUUCAGAAGAGAAAUUAGCAAAACACUUAUUAAUACAACAGAAGAAACAUGUUUAAAGAGGUCUUUUAGAAGAAUCAAACAAGGUCCAGUAGAAGGCAAACAAAUAGACUUAAGAUCUUAGUAAAAAGAAUACAGUAGAAGAACACAAGAACGCCGGAAAAGCAUGACAAAAUAACAUAUAGGAAAACACAAUGGGAUAAACAUAUAAGAGCAUGAUAGAAAGGAAACAAGAAUAUAGUAGAAGAACGGGAUAUAGAAAACAAAACAGAGGGACACAAGAGCACGGUAGGAUCUUAAGAGACCAAAAUAUAGGAGCAAGAGAAGCAUAUAAGAACAUGCUACAAGAACACAAUAGAGGAAAACACACAUAAACAACAAAGAAAAAAAUCAUAGAAACAUUUGAACAUUUCAGAAACCCUAGAUCGAAAAGAGGCAGUUUUAUGAAAGUAAUUGUUUUGAAAGCAAAGCCAGGAAAAGCGUUUGAAAACUCAAAUAGAGCAUAGAUAUACAAAAAAUCUAGUAAAACCUCGAGGGGUUUCAAAAGAACCCUAAAAUGAGAAAGGCUUUAAAAGGCUAUCGAUGGCCCUGAAACUUUGAGCUGGAAAAGGUCUGGAUGAAGACCUUCGAGGUCUGGCCUCAAACCUUCAAGUAUCGAGCACAUAGGAGUAACAUGAGGUGAGUAUAAGGUUCCCAUGGUCGGAGAAGCCAUGGUUUUCAGUGGGUUUCGAGGUGGGAGUGAUAGAGGCGGCUAGAGUUAAGUAAGGUUCGAUAGAGUCUGAGAGAGAAGAUGGGUUUCAAGGCAGCGUAUUUGAGGGAAAUGAAUUUCAGUUGGGGGUUUAGGUAAUCAAAAAGGUAAGGGGACAUCGUGAUCGUGGCCGUUGAUCAUUUUGAUCAACGACCUGGAUUUAUUGGAGAGCCGAGCGGGUUGGAUCAGAUGGGUCAGGGGUCAGGUUAAAUGGAAAUUGGACUAUGUAAUUUAGGAUUUGAAAUUGGGUUAUUGGGGUGAUCAAGCUAUAAUUGAAAUAAAAUAUGGCUAUCAUUUAAACAGCCACUUUUUCCUUUUUAAUUUAUAGAAAAAUAGCAAAAAUGAUUUUUGAAACAAAUUAAAG
RNAcentral lists this long non-coding RNA (2882 nucleotides) under Nicotiana benthamiana. RNAcentral's name for it is "long non-coding RNA (NBEN_LNC033621)". The record is from RNAcentral. Lineage: Eukaryota; Viridiplantae; Streptophyta; Magnoliopsida; Solanales; Solanaceae.